This 479-nucleotide ribosomal RNA is filed under the name uncultured bacterium. RNAcentral describes it as "partial 16S ribosomal RNA". It matches the Rfam family "Bacterial small subunit ribosomal RNA", at positions 28 to 507 of the family's 1533-position model. The record is from RNAcentral.
GACGAACGCUGGCGGCGCGCCUAACACAUGCAAGUCGAGCGAUGAAAUUUUAACCGAUCUCUUCGGAGAGAAGAUAAAAUGGAUUAGCGGCGGACGGGUGAGUAACACGUGAGAAACCUGCCUUUCACAAGGGGAUAGCCUCGGGAAACCGGGAUUAAUACCCUAUGACACAUUUCCUUCGCAUGGAAGAAUGUUAAAACUCCGGUGGUGAAAGAUGGUCUCGCGCCUGAUUAGCUAGUUGGUGGGGUAACGGCCCACCAAGGCCAUGAUCAGUAACCGGCCUGAGAGGGUGAACGGUCACAUUGGAACUGAGACACGGUCCAAACUCCUACGGGAGGCAGCAGUGGGGAAUAUUGCACAAUGGAGGAAACUCUGAUGCAGCGACGCCGCGUGAGCGAUGAAGGCUUUCGAGUCGUAAAGCUCUGUCCUAUGGGAAGAUAAUGACGGUACCAUAGGAGGAAGCCCCGGCUAACUACGUG